RNAcentral lists this ribosomal RNA (475 nucleotides) under uncultured bacterium. RNAcentral describes it as "bacterial SSU rRNA". It matches the Rfam family "Bacterial small subunit ribosomal RNA", at positions 29 to 497 of the family's 1533-position model. The record is from RNAcentral.
AUUGAACGCUGGCGGCAUGCCUUACACAUGCAAGUCGAACGGCAGCACGGGGAGCAAUCCUGGUGGCGAGUGGCGAACGGGUGAGUAAUAUAUCGGAACGUGCCCAGUCGUGGGGGAUAACGUAGCGAAAGCUACGCUAAUACCGCAUACGAUCUAUGGAUGAAAGCGGGGGAGUCGCAAGACCUCGCGCGAUUGGAGCGGCCGAUAUCAGAUUAGGUAGUUGGUGGGGGUAAAAGCUUACCAAGCCUGCGAUCUGUAGCUGGUCUGAGAGGACGACCAGCCACACUGGAACUGAGACACGGUCCAGACUCCUACGGGAGGCAGCAGUGGGGAAUUUUGGACAAUGGGCGCAAGCCUGAUCCAGCAAUGCCGCGUGUGUGAAGAAGGCCUGCGGGUUGUAAAGCACUUUCAGUGGGGAAGAACAGAUUCGGGUCAAUACCCGGAGCCCUGACGUUACCACAGAAGAAGCACCGGC